RNAcentral lists this long non-coding RNA (1350 nucleotides) under Cricetulus griseus (Chinese hamster). RNAcentral describes it as "lncRNA (ENSCGRG00000026270.1)". Lineage: Eukaryota; Metazoa; Chordata; Mammalia; Rodentia; Cricetidae. The record is from RNAcentral.
UUUAAAUAUUAUAACAUAAAACAUGUUACUGGUAUACCACACAAUCCUACAGGACAAGCAGUGGUUGAGAGAUCUAAUUGUACUUUAAUGGAAAUGCUCUAUAAACAGGCAGGGGGAACCAAGACCCCCCAAAAACAGAUUACAUAAUGCUUUACUAACCUUAAACUUUCUUAAUGCUAAUGAGACAAUAGAAAAAAUUGCUGAGCUAAUUCAGUUGGUGUACUGAUGGGGAAUGUACUGUGUAUGUUUAUCUUAUUGGUUGUUAAAUAAAAUACUGUUUGGCCAAUGAGACAGCAAGUAUAUGGGAGCUAGAAGUCAAAGAGGAUUCUGGGAAAUGUAGUAGAGAAGUGCUGAUCCGGGCAGGAAGUGACAUAGCAAGGAGACUCAUAUUUGAGCGAGGAGCGAGGAGAAAUGGGAAGUUCCCUCUUUCCCCUUUGCCUCCUCCAGCAGCAGGAUGUUAUCCACCAGCAAGGAGGGACGCCAAUAAGGCGUCUGAUAAGUUAAGUCUUAUAAAAUAUAUAGAUGUUUGAUAUUUGAGACUGAGCUAACAGAUGAGAAUCCUAGUCAUUGGCCAAGCAGUUUUGAACCUAAUACAAGUUUCUGUGUAUUCAUUUGGGCCUAACUCAGGCGGGCGGCUGGUGAAAAGCUUACACGUGGCGGUGGGGCUCAGCGGCUUUUGGCGGAAAGAUUUAUUGUAACAGUGUACUUCAAGGAUGCAUUGACUUCUCUAUGGAAACCAGGAUAUGUGUUACAUUGGGGUAAGGGUUUCACCUUUAUUUCUUCAGGUGAAGAAAAGCUUUGGACACCACCAAAUUGAUCAAGAUCUGAUUUGAACAGGAGAAACCUCUUGAUGAGGAGAAAUGAUAGGCCAUCCACCAAUGCAUAUCCAACGAGUUGUAUGGAGACCUCACAAAGGCUCUGUCAUUUGAAAACUUCACAUAUCUGUGAGUUACACUGUCCAGCUAUGUUCCUGGCCUCUAUUGAGACAUUCACUGUGUAUCGAGGAGAAAUGUGGGAAGAGAAUGGGCCUCAUUCCCUCCAGAAUUCCCAUAUUUCAAUCAACGCAUUUCAGUCAUGGCUCAUGCGCCCAGAACUGAGUUCUUAGAUUCUGCAUGGGGAUCACUACUGCAUCUGUCCACCUCUGGGGAAUUCUGCUUGCAUUAUUGUCUUUUGGUACAUGUGCAAAAGUGUCUCUUUUCAUGUUCAUCUACAUCUGAGUCAAAUAAUAUUUACAGUUGCUUCUCUAUCAGAAAUUUCUGUUUCCUGGGGGUGAGAAAGUGAUUUUUCAAUUAUUACCUAUAGCAAAAUACUCCUGCAUUUCUUAAGUCACUCAAAUAAUGUAUGUUACAG